AGAGUUUGAUCAUGGCUCAGAUUGAACGCUGGCGGCAUGCCUUACACAUGCAAGUCGAACGGUAACAGGUCUUUCGGGAUGCUGACGAGUGGCGAACGGGUGAGUAAUACAUCGGAACGUGCCCAGUAAUGGGGGAUAGCUCGGCGAAAGCCGGAUUAAUACCGCAUACGCCCUGAGGGGGAAAGUGGGGGACCGCAAGGCCUCACGUUAUUGGAGCGGCCGAUGGCUGAUUAGCUAGUUGGUAGGGUAAAGGCCUACCAAGGCGACGAUCAGUAGCUGGUCUGAGAGGACGAUCAGCCACACUGGGACUGAGACACGGCCCAGACUCCUACGGGAGGCAGCAGUGGGGAAUAUUGGACAAUGGGCGAAAGCCUGAUCCAGCCAUGCCGCGUGUGUGAAGAAGGCCUUCGGGUUGUAAAGCACUUUAAGCGAGGAGGAAGGUUCGUCACCUAAUACGUGACGGAAUUGACGUUACUCGCAGAAUAAGCACCGGCUAACUCUGUGCCAGCAGCCGCGGUAAUACAGAGGGUGCAAGCGUUAAUCGGAAUUACUGGGCGUAAAGCGCGCGUAGGCGGUUGUGUAAGUUGGAUGUGAAAUCCCCGGGCUUAACCUGGGCACUGCAUUCAAAACUGCACGGCUAGAGUAUUGGAGAGGAAGGUAGAAUUCCAGGUGUAGCGGUGAAAUGCGUAGAGAUCUGGAGGAAUACCGAUGGCGAAG
Molecule: ribosomal RNA, 717 nt
Filed under: uncultured Burkholderiaceae bacterium
Lineage: Bacteria; Pseudomonadati; Pseudomonadota; Betaproteobacteria; Burkholderiales; Burkholderiaceae
Description: bacterial SSU rRNA
Rfam family: Bacterial small subunit ribosomal RNA
Source: RNAcentral